UACGUAGGGUGCAAGCGUUAAUCGGAAUUACUGGGCGUAAAGCGUGCGCAGGCGGUUUUGGAAGUCUGACGUGAAAUCCCCGGGCUUAACCUGGGAAUGGCGUUGGAGACUGCAAGGCUGGAAUCUGGCAGAGGGGGGUAGAAUUCCACGUGUAGCAGUGAAAUGCGUAGAGAUGUGGAGGAACACCGAUGGCGAAGGCAGCCCCCUGGGCUAAGAUUGACGCUCAUGCACGAAAGCGUGGGGAGCAAACAGG
RNAcentral lists this ribosomal RNA (253 nucleotides) under uncultured bacterium. RNAcentral describes it as "partial 16S ribosomal RNA". It matches the Rfam family "Bacterial small subunit ribosomal RNA", at positions 524 to 776 of the family's 1533-position model. The record is from RNAcentral.